Molecule: long non-coding RNA, 1912 nt
Filed under: Mytilus galloprovincialis (Mediterranean mussel)
Lineage: Eukaryota; Metazoa; Mollusca; Bivalvia; Mytilida; Mytilidae
Source: RNAcentral
UUGGAUAUUGUUCAUUUGAUUGAGUAAUGAUUAUCUCUUCAAUAAUAACUUUUCCAAGUGUGUGCUAUGGGUACGCGCCCAGGUAACAGAGAUCAUCGUAUUAUGAUCCAAUAUAUUUCGAAACUGGAAUUAAACACUUCGUGUAGAGUUGAGAACAAGAACAAUAGAUGUCCAGCUCACGCUAUGAAAGGGCUUAUUGACCUUAUUUCGAUAUCGAGACAUUCGGCCAUGACAGCAUUUACAAGUGCGCGAUCCCACAAUGCACCGCAUAAAUGUAAACAAUAACAAUUAUGGGAAUAGAACCACGAUCGAGUAGACUAAGUGUGUAAAUGUUCGUUCAGUAUUGAAAUCUACAACUUUGAAUUAAUAAAUAACUGUUUGUCAAACAUUUUCCAGAAAUGUCAGUAUCAUUACAAGUUUCCCGUACAUUAUGCCCGCCAGUUUUUAUUGCUAUGUCGACGGCAGUAAACAUUCCCUAAACACUACUUUUGAACUCAUGCUAUAUCAGUAUACACACUACUCCCAGCUCUACAUACACAUUCCAAUUGCGUCGGCUCUUUAACGCUUCAUCGUCUUGAAUAAGCAGCCGAUAAGCAUGUUUCUACCGCCCAGGCUCGGGAAGUCAGUGAUCGUGAUACAAUUAGAUACAUACGAAUCUGUUAUGGUUAUUAUGCAGAACCCUGCCUCUGGUGGAAACUCUUUUGCCUCAACGUAGAAAAUAUUACAGCAGCAACCCUAUGACUAUAUUUAAUCAAAGGACAUCUAUUUACUUAGACAUUGAGAAGACUCCUGUUUUACCGAGUGGAAUUAGUAAUUACGUAGUAUGAGGUCAAUUCCGUACCAGGAGAGAAGAAGAUGUCGUCCUAAUCAGUAGUUCAGAUUAGUCCUUACAACUAUAUUAAUUCCGCAAGUCCUUCAACACUAGCCCAACAGCACUGAGGGCACUUUUAGAUCAUACAGAACACAUCAGGUUUACCAUAUAUACGGGUUUAUCAUAUACUACUGCAGUACGGUGUGAAGAGCAGCAUGGAGAUUCGAGGACACGUAUAUAUGUCUGAACUUCUUAAGGAUAUGCAACUGAAUAUAUUGUAUUGGUGGAAACUUUGCCUUUGUUAAGUAUAAGUAAUAUUUUGUAUUUUAUUGAUAAGCAAAACAUACAUCUGUAAUAACAGCAGAUACAUAUAUAAUAAGUAAUACUAUGUAUUAAUGUCUCAUAUUUUAGCACAUAGUAUCACACAGUAUUUAUAUCUCUAUUCUAGAUUGUUCCACACCUGCAGAGAUCUCUUCAGGUGAACAUUUCGUACAGUAUAAGUAUGAAUAUAUAUUUAUAUGUAUUAUAUUUCAGCACAUAGUACAGAUGCACACAGUAUUUAUCAUGUUCAUAUAUCUAUUCUAGAUUGCUAUCUCUAUUCUAGAUUAUUCUACACCUUCCAGGACAUUUCUCAGUCAUAUGUAUUCAUUUUAUAUGUAUGAUAUUUCAUCACAUAGCACACAGUUUUUAUCAUAUUUAUAAAUUUAUUCCAGAGUGUUCCACACCUGCCUGGAUCUCUCCAGGUGUAUAUUUCGUACAGUAUAUUAAGAAAUAAUAUGAAUUUAAAUGUAUAUAUUUCAGCACAUAGUACAUGAAGCACACAGUAUUUAUCAUGUUCAUAUCUCUAUUCUAAUUUGCUAUCUCUAUACUAGAUUAUUUUACACAUUCCAGGAUCUCCCAAGGUGGACAUUUCUUAGUAUAAGUAAUGCAUACAUGUAUGUAUUUAUUUUAUAUGUAUUAUAUUUCAGCACAUAGUACAUGUAGCACACAUGUACAGUAUUUAUCAUGUUUAUAUCUUUAGUCUAGAUUGCUCCACACAUGCAGGGAUCUCCCCAAGUGGCCAUUUCAUACAGUACAGUUAUAAUAUAAAUUAUAUUUCAG